ACGCUCGACACCUACGGAGGCAGCAGUCGGGAAUAUUGCGCAAUGGAGGAAACUCUGACGCAGUGACGCCGCGUAUAGGAAGAAGGUCUUCGGAUUGUAAACUAUUGUCGUUAGGGAAGAAAAAGGACAGUACCUAAGGAGGAAGCUCCGGCUAACUACGUGCCUGCAGCCGCGGUAAUCUGAGGCGGGCUGGCAAGGC
Molecule: ribosomal RNA, 199 nt
Filed under: uncultured bacterium
Lineage: Bacteria
Description: partial 16S ribosomal RNA
Rfam family: Bacterial small subunit ribosomal RNA
Source: RNAcentral